CAACAAGGUUGGAAUGAUGUUGAAGGGUUGGUUAUUUGGAGGAAUGGAUGGGAAGGGGUUUAGAUAUGUAGGAAAGGCAAGGAAAGGCUUGGAGAAUGGUUAAUUUCUGGAUGAUUUGAAUGAGGUUGCUGCCAUGGUAUUUAUAGGAAGAGGAUGGACAUGUUUAAUGCAAAAAUCUGGUGGAAUGAAGUAGGUAAGGCAUGGCAAGGUAGAGAAUUGUUGGUGAGGGUAGGUUUUGAGUCAUCCACUCACAUGUCAUGGUGAGUUAAGCAUUGCAUCAUCCACUCAAAUGUCAUGGUGAGUUAGGCAUUGCAUCAUCACUAAAAAAAAUCUGGUGGAAGUAAAACAAAGGGAAGGCCACGGCAUUGAUGAAUUUUAUGGGGUAUGCAUGGUUU
Molecule: long non-coding RNA, 395 nt
Filed under: Malus domestica (apple)
Lineage: Eukaryota; Viridiplantae; Streptophyta; Magnoliopsida; Rosales; Rosaceae
Description: long non-coding RNA (MDOM_LNC021010)
Source: RNAcentral